GUGAAUCAUCGAAUCUUUGAACGCAAAUUGCACUCUCUUCGGAUAUGAUGGCUGUUUGAGGUUCAGCCUAAAAAAAAUCGACAAAGUCGCUGUGUCGCGGGGACAUUCGUCGGAAAUUGGUUCAUAAUAAGCCUGUUGGUUUUAAGCGGCUUAAAAUGUUCUUUACGAUUACACGAACGUUUCUAAGAUUGACUUACACGUUUAAGGUAUCGAUCAUUAUUAGACGUGGCCGUUGGAUCGGGUCGGGACCAUAGAUAUAUUUUU
RNAcentral lists this unclassified non-coding RNA (264 nucleotides) under Glomus sp. RNAcentral's name for it is "partial internal transcribed spacer 2". The record is from RNAcentral. Lineage: Eukaryota; Fungi; Glomeromycota; Glomeromycetes; Glomerales; Glomeraceae.